CCUACGGGUGGCAGCAGUGAGGAAUAUUGGUCAAUGGACGCAAGCCUGAACCAGCCAUGCCGCGUGCAGGAAGACGGCCCUAUGAGUUGUAAACUGCUUUUGUACGAGGGUAAAGCCCGGUACGUGUAUUGGGUUGAAAGUACCUUACGAAUAAGGAUCGGCUAACUCCGUGCCAGCAGCCGCGGUAAUACGGAGGAUUCAAGCGUUAUCCGGAUUUAUUGGGUUUAAAGGGGGCGUAGGCGGUUCGUUAAGUCAGAUGUGAAAUCCCGGGGCUCAACUCCGACAUUGCCUUUGAUACUGUCGGGCUAGAGUAUAGUAGCGGUAGGCGGAAUGUAUGGGGUAGCGGUGAAAUGCAUAGAGAUCAUACAGAACACCGAUUGCGAAGGCAGCUUACCAAACUGCGACUGACGUUGAGGCACGAAAGCGUGGGGAGCAAACAGGAUUAGAUACCCGAGUAGUC
This 460-nucleotide ribosomal RNA is filed under the name uncultured bacterium. RNAcentral's name for it is "partial 16S ribosomal RNA". It matches the Rfam family "Bacterial small subunit ribosomal RNA", at positions 338 to 795 of the family's 1533-position model. The record is from RNAcentral.